RNAcentral lists this ribosomal RNA (515 nucleotides) under uncultured bacterium. RNAcentral describes it as "partial 16S ribosomal RNA". It matches the Rfam family "Bacterial small subunit ribosomal RNA", at positions 28 to 523 of the family's 1533-position model. The record is from RNAcentral.
GAUGAACGCUGGCGGCGUGCCUAAUACAUGCAAGUCGAGCGAAUGGAUUAAGAGCUUGCUCUUAUGAAGUUAGCGGCGGACGGGUGAGUAACACGUGGGUAACCUGCCCAUAAGACUGGGAUAACUCCGGGAAACCGGGGCUAAUACCGGAUGAUAUUUUGAACUGCAUGGUUCAAAAUUGAAAGGCGGCUUCGGCUGUCACUUAUGGAUGGACCCGCGUCGCAUUAGCUAGUUGGUGAGGUAACGGCUCACCAAGGCAACGAUGCGUAGCCGACCUGAGAGGGUGAUCGGCCACACUGGGACUGAGACACGGCCCAGACUCCUACGGGAGGCAGCAGUAGGGAAUCUUCCGCAAUGGACGAAAGUCUGACGGAGCAACGCCGCGUGAGUGAUGAAGGCUUUCGGGUCGUACAACUCUGUUGUUAGGGAAGAACAAGUGCUAGUUGAAUAAGCUGGCACCUUGACGGUACCUAACCAGAAAGCCACGGCUAACUACGUGCCAGCCGCCGCCGUAA